UGCACUGUUCCAGACUAGUUUCAAUUCUUUUGUAGCCAAGUUCUUUUCUUAUUUUUGCAAGCCUAUUGCAACAACAUUCCUUCCUUGAAAUUUGAGAUUCCGGUCACCUACAAUCAUGCAUAUGAUCUAAGCACACAAAUUAUUCUAAAUCAACUAAAAUUUAUUAAAAUAAACUAAAAUAGAUGUUUAUACAAAAUAUAAUUAAAAUACAUAAAAACGUGUCAUUUACUCUCUAAGUAAUCUUGAUUCAAGUUGAAAAGUGUUAUGAUAACUCUCAUUUCAUAGAGUUAUCAUUAAUUCAAGAACAAAAUGGAAUCUUACAAGAUACUAUAAUUUGCUAUAAUGAAAAGAAAAAUAAUAAACUUCAAUCAAUGUCAAGGCCAAUAUUCAACAAAAUAAAUGGGAACAAAAAAUUAAUAAGUUUGAGAAUGUUAAGAGAGAACACAAACAAUGGAUUAAAAGAAUUAUCUAAUCUAGAGUUAUUCGAUAAAGAUAAAGAGCCUUAAACUGAUGAAGAGGAAGAUAUAUUUAUAAGAUAUUGAAUUUAGGAAUGAACAUCUAAAGAUGAAUGGGUCAAAGCCAAGAGUUUUUUAACAAGAAGAAUCUAGCAAUAGAGCUUCUUAUGCUAGAGAAGAGAUACCAACUAAUGAAAGAACACAGAGUCAAUAUUUUAGGUCAAAUCUAAAAAAUGAAUACAAAAUUCUAGGAGAAUACAAAGAAAGGCUAAUUAGUCAUGAUGGUAUAUGGUUAGAUAUAGACCCUGUCAAAGAUAGAGAUAAAGUGAUUACAACUUGGGUUAAAUCUAUGAAAAUUGUUCUUAUUUUUCAUAAACUAGAUAGACAUAAUAGCAUAGAAUUCCGUAAAACUUUGUUUAUAGGAAUAAUAGUACAAUGGUUUAUGGGAUUAAAGGAUACUAGUAAACAUAGAAUAUUGUAUGGAGAAAAUAAUGAUCUAAAUGAGAAUCAAGAACAUAUCUUAAAUAGAUUUGAAAAUGAAAUAAGAAAAGAAUUCUUAGGAGAAGAUUGAGAAAAUGAUUUUCAGCAAGAAAUAAAGAGAAAAAGGAUGGAAAAUGUAAUAAAGCUAACGAGACUUCAAAUAUGUGAUUUAAUUUUUUUAGAGGCAUACACGUGUAGCUUCAAAGAAUUAUAUUAUAAAUGUGAGUUUGGUAGUGAUGAAAAUACAAUAGGGUAUUAUAAUGAUUUAUAUUUUAUAAAAAUACCAAACCCAUGGGAUAAGAGGAAUAUGCUAGAAUAUAGUAAAGAAUAUGGAGAUUGUACAAACACUGGUACCUUAGAAAAUAAGAUUGGGUUUGCUCGAAAUAGGAUAAAUUAGUAGUAUGCUAAAAUAAGGGAUAAAAAGACUUAUGAAAAAAGCAAAAUCGAGAAUUAUGUUGUUCUAAGUUAGAAGAACCACCAAGACUUGGAUGCUCAGAUAAAACCUAUAAACAUAGGAAAAAAUUUAAAAAAGAAAAAAUUCUUUGAAACCAAUAAGAAAUAUUAUAACAAAACUCUUCAAAAUGAAUAAAUUUAUAACAAAAUCUAAAACCAAUGCACCCAAAAAGUAUAAAUGAUGGUUAUGCAAUGAAUAAGGGCAUUAUGCAAACGAAUGUCCUAAAAAGAAAAAAGUAAAUUUCAAAAUGUUUGACGAUUUUAGUGAUUUAGAAUUAAUCACUGAUAGUGAAGAUAUUAGUAAUAAUCAUAACAUAUACUAUCUAUCUGAUGAGACAUUGAGUAGCUCAGAUUCAGAUUGAGUAUAGAAAAAUUACACAAUAAAUAUUUAUAUUAAGAUGAAGAACUAGAGAACAAGGUUUUUUUAAUAGAGAAUUAAGUUUUGAUAAUAAACAAUACCUCAAAAUUAAUAAAAAGGGAAUCGAAACAUUUGUGACUUUAGUCAAUAAGUUAACUCAAUGAAUUGCUAACAUUAUUAAAAUAAAAAAUAUAAUGUAUUUCAGUGCCACUGUGAGGGAAGAAUCUUUUGAAAUUAGACAUACCUGAGGAAAUACAAAUAUACAUUUGUUAUUAAAAUCAGAUGUAGGAGAUAAAAUCAAUAAGAUAAGGUCUAAUGAUAGACCCAAGAUUGGAUAUGUUCAUAUUGGAGGAAUCCAAAUUAUGAUAAAAGCUUAAUUUUGAGAAUGAAUAAAUAGUCCUGUAAAUUUAGCUAUACUAGAUAAUAGAAUAAAUGAUCGAAAACAUGCACUCAAUGGAAUAAUACAAGGAAACCUAAGUUAUAAAAAUUUAAUAUUUUAGACAUAUCCUAAAUAUUUUGUAAGUUUUAUAGACAAAAAUAUAAAUAAGACAUUAACCCUAUAUCAUGAUUUUAAAUACUUUGAUAUAAUGCAUGAUGGAUCUUAUCCAUAUAGCAUAACAUACGCCAUAGAAUAUGCAUUGACAAAUUCGGCUAAUAGUGAAAUGUUUGCCGAUAAAGAACUUAAUGAAAUUGAUAAACUAUUUAAUAAAGUUGGAGAGAUAAAUCUCCUAAAAUUUUGAGGGAAAUUGUUUUGCCAGAAAAAUGGGAAAUUGAUCUAAAUAGUCAACCUACUCUGAUUAGGGAAAAUACUGCUAAAUCUAUAUAAUAUACUCCAUAUGGAAGAAUCAUUAUAGGAAAUAGAAGAUCAUUCCCUAUGCCUAAAAGAGAACUAGAAUUAAGUAAAAUAUAAAGUUUUACUAGAUGUAUCCAUCUUAUGAUACCAAUAUCACAUGAAAUACUAGCAACGAUUUGAAAACAUAAUCAAAAUCUAAAAAUUAAGAUUGAAUAGAAUAAUGGAAAGUCAUGUCAUGAACUUUUACUAUCCUUGAUGCAAGAGUUGUAAACUCUUAUGUAGAUGCCAAAAUGAUUAAAUAUUUAGAAAGAAAUAUUCUAAUUGAACCCCAUAAAUAUAUGAGAUAUAAUGGAGAAAGAAAGAUGCCAAGUCAAUAUUGUGAGAUACCAUUGAGGAUUAAAGGAAUGAAUUUUUAUCUUUCCUUUUUUCAUAGAACUUGAUUAUAAAAUAGAAAUAAGUCCUGUAUUAUUAAGGAUGAACUUUCUUGAAAAUUUCUCUCCUUACUGUAUAAGAGACAAAGAAAUAAGCAUAACAAUUGAAGGAAUUAAGCAAAUCAUAUCAAGAUGUAUCUAAUCCUUUUAUAAUAUAUAUGAAAGUGAUUAUACCAUGUUAUAAGUAUAAACCAUAAUGGUUCCAUGCUUUAAUUUUAAUACUGGUUUAGGAGUUAGUUUAGCUAAUUCCAGGAUUUAUCCAAAAUCUUAUUGGAAAGACUAUAAGCCCUUAAUAAGACAAGGAAUAAAUGGUGAAUAAAUUACCUUUAGAAAAUGUAGGAUUAAAACCUUAAUACAAAUAAAAGAUUAUAUUCUAAGUAUACCUAUAUUAUGGUAUUAUGAUCAUAUGGGUGCAAAUAUAUUUUUAGGAGUUAAUUUCCUUUAUUAGUUAUAUAAUGACUAACGAAACAAUUACUUUUAAAACACCAUGUAUUCAUUCUAUUAUAACACCAAGGAUUUACAACCCUGUUAGGUGAACAACUUGAAAGCUACAUUUUUUAAGCAGCCAACGUGGUGAUUUUAAUAUAAAAAUCAAUCAAAUCAUAUUUGAUUAUGAAAAAAUCUUAGAAGAACUUGAUAAACUUUUGGUGAAAACCCAGUUCAAUUAUGAAAAAUUGAGAAAAUUUAUGCCAAAAUAAAAUUAAAAGAUCCAUAUGUCAUCAUAAGAGUUAAGCCUAUGAUAUAUGGGCAAGAAGAUAGACUAGAGUUUGAUGACAAAUUAAAGAGUUACUAGAACUGAAGAUUAUUUCAGAAUCUAAAACUCCACAUAGUAGCCAGCCUUUAUGGUUAGGAACUAUGUAGAGAUUAAAUGAGGAAAAGCCUAAAGAAUUAAAUAAAUAUACCAAAUUUGAUGGGUUGAUCAUAUUAAUCAUCUUGUUUCUUUUGUAGAAAAAUGCAAGAAAUAUGGAAUAUUACUUUUUUAAAAAGAAAGUUGAGAUAAUGAAACCUAGAAUAAAAAAAAUAUAAUCAGAUAAAUUAGAGUCCAAAGAACAAAUUCAAUGAUUUUUAGAACGUUUUAAUUAUGCUAAAGGAAUCAUAGAAAACUUAGAUAAAGAAAAACAACCAUUAUAAGGAUUAUUGAAAAAGUAUAAUAAAAAAUCUUGGAUUCCUUUUGAACCAUGUAGUUAUAUAUUUGGAUUAGUUUAUAGCAUAUCCACAAUUGAUUGUUGCACUUAGAUGUUUUUUGUUACUUCCAUUCUUGAUGCCUAUCACAUGUCAGUUAAAGAGCAAAAAUUGUACAUGUUCUUGACUGAUCAGUGCUCUUUCUUAUAACGGGUUCGUGACUAAUGUUCACUUUCUUAUUUGAUUUUGUUUAUGCAGUUCCUGUAGCAAGAUUGUGUAAUUUGAUUAUUCAGAUGCUUCCAUAGCUGACGGCUUCGCGAGAUAUUGAGUCUCCCUAGCUUUGUGUCGCUAGUGAAUACUUUUGUGGGUCUUUUAAUAUACGUGUGGAGGAGUGGAAUACAGCCGAUAUUUUUCAUGGUCGUUUAACAAUAUGAUUAACCUAUAACUAUAGUAUACCAAGCCACCCCCUUUCCCUAUUAAACCCUGUGCGAAAUUGAAUAUUCCAAUAGAUUUUUACAUUGUAGUUUUGUUUAUCUAUAAUGUUUUCAACAAAUUUUCAUUAAGAUCUGAUUCAAAUUAAUUGAGUGGUUAUGAUCGAAUCCAACUUAGGAAGAUCUUUAUACUAAGGUAGUAAAUAGGUAAAAAGAAAAAAAUGUAAAAAUCUAUCAAGAUUAGGAUUUUCUACUACUAGUGAUAAUUUAAUUCUUGAAACAGAUGCUUCAUAUAAUUAGUGGAGUGCAGUACUAAAAUAUAUAUCAAGAAAAGAUUUGUAGAUAUACUAGCAGAACAUUUAAACCCGCAGAAAAGAAUUAUCAUAACAAAGAAAAGGAAGGAAGUUUUAGCUAUUAAAAAUGGAAUAGCCAAAUUUACUUUCUUUUUAUUACCAAAGAAAUUUAAGGUACGAUAUAAUAAUACUCAAGUCAAAGGAUUUAAAUUUAAUAAAUUGCCUAAUCUACCUCAAUAUAAAAGAUUAAUUAAAUGGCAAUAAUUCUUUGUUGAAUAUGAUUUUGAAAUUGAGUAUAUUAAAGGAUCUAACAAUUGCAAUGCAUAUUUCUUUAGUCGAGAACACAAUGGAGAAAAGUCUUUCCAAAAUAAUAAAGGGCAUAAUGAUGUACUUUGAAGGUCAAGAAUUGCUUCUCAAGGGCAAUGGCGUGAUUUAUAAUGGGUUUGCUGUGAUAAAUGAUGCCCAUGAAAAGUUAAACAAACUUUUUCUGGACAAAAGUUUGCAAAAUCAUCCAAAAGUCUAGACUUCAUAACAAUAUACUAGUAACAUGCUUAAAAAGGUCAAUUUCAAGGAUAAAUUGAGGACAAAUUACCCAAAGCUCUUCACAUAAUUCAAAGAUCACAUAUUUAGAGAAAUUUCUCAUAAUUAAUGAUCUUAAAUAGCAAUAUAUAAAGAAAAAAUGUUUUCAAAACUCUUCAAUAAGCUUAAAACUUCAAUUUAACCAAAGCGGAUAGUCUAUUCUGAUGGUUAAAAUCCCAUUAGAAAAUGACUAAGCUUAUGAUUAUAAAAGUAUUGGUAAAAUAGCUUAUCGAAUUUGUCCAAGACAGGGAUGUACCCAAAUAUUAACUUUGUUCUAAGAGCUGAUUCAAAAUUGAUAAAAGAAAUGUAUGAAUAUAGUUUUCUUAACUGUGUUUAUGUCAAUGAUGAUUGUAUAAUAUUUUUUAUGAGCAGCAAAGAAAGCAUAUUAGCCAAGCAGACAAUAUUGAAAAUGAAAAAGGCAAUAUAUGAAAAUCUUAUAGAAUCUAACUUGCCAACAUACCAUGAGAUAUGGAAGUUGCUAAAGCAUCAAUCAUCAUGUGGCUAUUACUACGAAAGAUCAAAAGAGGAAUCUAGCGAGGAGGACAUGUCGCUCAAUGAAGAGCUCAUAAUAAGCAUGUGAUAG
RNAcentral lists this long non-coding RNA (5978 nucleotides) under Citrus sinensis (sweet orange). RNAcentral's name for it is "long non-coding RNA (CSIN_LNC005025)". The record is from RNAcentral. Lineage: Eukaryota; Viridiplantae; Streptophyta; Magnoliopsida; Sapindales; Rutaceae.